RNAcentral lists this ribosomal RNA (331 nucleotides) under uncultured eukaryote. Its description in RNAcentral is "partial 18S ribosomal RNA". It matches the Rfam family "Eukaryotic small subunit ribosomal RNA", at positions 1470 to 1796 of the family's 1831-position model. The record is from RNAcentral.
CCCUUAGAUGUUCUGGGCCGCACGCGCGCUACACUGACAAAGUCAACAAGUAAUUUACCUUAACCGAAAGGUUUGGGUAAUCUUUUGAAACUUUGUCGUGCUGGGACUUGACGAUUGUAAUUAUUUGUCACAAACGAGGAAUUCCUAGUAAGCGCAAGUCAUCAACUUGCAUUGAUUACGUCCCUGCCCUUUGUACACACCGCCCGUCGCUCCUACCGAUUGAAUGUUCCGGUGAACACUUUGGAACUUGCAUUUUAUGUUGGUAACAUCAUAAUAAUGAUUAGUGAAGCUGUGUAAACCUUAACAUUUAGAGGAAGGAGAANUCGUANCA